This 33350-nucleotide long non-coding RNA is filed under the name Triticum aestivum (bread wheat). RNAcentral describes it as "long non-coding RNA (TAES_LNC024581)". Lineage: Eukaryota; Viridiplantae; Streptophyta; Magnoliopsida; Poales; Poaceae. The record is from RNAcentral.
GCCCGACUGGUCAGGUUAUAUUCCACCUAACCCUAUCUCCAUUAGAACACGCCCACUAGCCCGACUGGUCAGCACGCAGCACACACACUAGGAGGUCCUGGGUUCAAUUCCCAGGCUCCCCAAUUUUUGUUUUUAUGCAUUUAAAAUGUUGUUUGAUAUUUAUUUGUGUUUAAAUAUGUUCAAACUUGUUUAAAUCAUAACAGUAAUAUUUUUUUAUAAAAACAGUAAUGAUUUUUUAAAAAAUAUCAUCAAAUUUGUUAUUUGAAAAUAUAAUCAAAUUUUCUUUUUUUUUGCAAUUUUAGUUGCAUUCAUUUNNNNNNNNNNNNNNNNNNNNNNNNNNNNNNNNNNNNNNNNNNNNNNNNNNNNNNNNNNNNNNNNNNNNNNNNNNNNNNNNNNNNNNNNNNNNNNNNNNNNNNNNNNNNNNNNNNNNNNNNNNNNNNNNNNNNNNNNNNNNNNNNNNNNNNNNNNNNNNNNNNNNNNNNNNNNNNNNNNNNNNNNNNNNNNNNNNNNNNNNNNNNNNNNNNNNNNNNNNNNNNNNNNNNNNNNNNNNNNNNNNNNNNNNNNNNNNNNNNNNNNNNNNNNNNNNNNNNNNNNNNNNNNNNNNNNNNNNNNNNNNNNNNNNNNNNNNNNNNNNNNNNNNNNNNNNNNNNNNNNNNNNNNNNNNNNNNNNNNNNNNNNNNNNNNNNNNNNNNNNNNNNNNNNNNNNNNNNNNNNNNNNNNNNNNNNNNNNNNNNNNNNNNNNNNNNNNNNNNNNNNNNNNNNNNNNNNNNNNNNNNNNNNNNNNNNNNNNNNNNNNNNNNNNNNNNNNNNNNNNNNNNNNNNNNNNNNNNNNNNNNNNNNNNNNNNNNNNNNNNNNNNNNNNNNNNNNNNNNNNNNNNNNNNNNNNNNNNNNNNNNNNNNNNNNNNNNNNNNNNNNNNNNNNNNNNNNNNNNNNNNNNNNNNNNNNNNNNNNNNNNNNNNNNNNNNNNNNNNNNNNNNNNNNNNNNNNNNNNNNNNNNNNNNNNNNNNNNNNNNNNNNNNACUUCAUAGUCAUCUUCAUCACCUUGCCACCGAUAGCCAUCCAUGAAACCACGCAAGAGCAGGUGGUCCCGCACCUGCCCGGAAUCCGGGUCCGCAAUAAGGCUCUUCAGCUUGCAUCUUCGACACGGACAUCUUAUCUCCGUCUCGUUCUUUUCAAGCAUCUCGGCCUUCGCGGAGCUCAAAAACCUAUUCACGAUGCCUUCGGUCAUCGUGCGGACCAUGGUCGCCUGCGGGGUAGAGCAAAACGAUAUUUUAGAACCAAGAAAAAAUUUGGCAUGACUUUCCCUAAAAAUAGGACCAAAAAGAAUGCAUAGUGCCAAAAUUCUCGCCGAAACGGAAAUGAAUCAACAUUCCGGCAAAAUAUUGGCAACUAUCACAUUUCAAAUACCGGUACCUGCAAACACAAACAUAUAUGCAACACCACAAACAUAUGCAACACCACAAACAUACAUAGAUCUAGCUAGGACAUAAAAAGUGCAUGUGCACGUUGUUGGAGGGAGAACAACAUAAAGAUAGCUUCCCCCUUACUUACCUAUCAAAAAAAGGGGGUUUAACCACGUAAUUUGGAUGAAUUUAUGGUGCAAAUGAGGUGAGGAGGAGGAGGUAGCCGAGACAAGCUUGGAGGAGGGAGGAGAGAGAAUGAAGUGGGGAAAGUGAGUGGGUAGGUGUGGCUGUCCAAAAUAUCUAGCUCGUCCCAGGUUACUAAUGGCGCACCACCACCUAAUGUGCCAUUAGUAACCCUGGUUACUAAUGGCGCACCUGCUGGUGGUGCGCCAUUAGUAGUUUUGCAAAAAAAUACACUAAUGGCGCACCAGGGAGCAGUGCGCCAUUACUAGCUUAAACUAGUAAUGGCGCACUGCCCCAGGUGCGCCAUUAGUAGUUUUGCAAAAAAGUAAAAAAUAAAAAAAAAUUGUAGUGGCGCACUAUGUGGCUGGUGCGCCAUUACUAGUUAGAACUAGUAAUGGCGCACUGUGCCCUGGUGCGCCAUUAGUAUGUCUGGCAAAAUAAAAAAAUUGUCACUAAUGGCGCACCGUGUGUCUGGUGCGCCAUUAGUGUAUUUCACACUAAUGGCGCACCAGCACGUGGUGCGCCACUGCUACAUAGCAAUGGCGCACCACAUGUCUGGUGCGACAUUAGUGGCCAUUCCAUCUAUAGCCCUUUUCCUAGUAGUGCAUGUGUGUAGCAAAACCGGCUUGUGUUUUGGAGCUUGCUACCAAAGUUCAUCUCCCGAGAAUCUCGCAAUGCCAUCCCAUCGGUUUGUGUUGCAAAACUUCCUUUUUCCGGACAUGCUGUCUGAAAUAUCCUGUUACCAGCCAGAUCUGAAUCUCAGGCAGAUAUGAUGGUUGGAGCGCCUCCCAAGAACUAUAAUAUUGGUCUCUGUAACCCGGUAAGUGGAUGUCCUGGCCAACACACCCAGCCGGAAGACCUAUUAUUGUAGUAUCCUGAUUGAUAAAGUUGGCCACCUCCCCAUAAGGAUUCCGUAGUAUUUACUUCCGUAGUUAUUCCUUAUGGAUUCUUGUGUUCCCGAAGUCCGACCUUUUACUUGAUGUUCUAGAUAUCAAACCAUAUCAAAUGGGUUACGCUAGUACAUCAAGGAGAACAUUAGAAGUGGAGUGCUAAAUGUCUCUCGGUCGAUCAUCCAGAUUUUGUUUCCUUGGCCUCGCUAGGGUGAAAUCUGAGUAGAUGUUAUCUUCCUUUGCAUCUGCAUUGUCCAUCACUAUUCAUCAUGGUAGUAUGUUGGGUUGCCAGGAUCCUUGACACGGAUGUUGGUAGAACCUUGAUGAAUAUGGAAUUGCUCAAGUUCUUGAGUGCACGCGCAAGCAAAAUCAUCCCUUGCGUUGUCUUCAACAAGGUAGUCCACAUCGUCCAUUCUAGCCCGAGUGAGUCAUUCUCCCGAACUCCGUCAAACGAUCGAUUUGUAAAUUGCCUCAGGCUGGUGAGAAGAGUUCCAGUGAUCUUUGUAUGAAAAGUAAUUCUUUUGGCCACUUAAGGGAAUAAUUCUACGAGUCACCUUUCCUAAGGUGCCCCGUUACGGAGUCAUGGCAAUCAAUCUCCUCGCUACUUUGAAACCAUGCGCCAUCCUAUUCUAGCAUGGAAUUGUUGCCUACCAAAUUGAACUUUCGCCAUCUGUUUCUUCCAUCCCUCUCGAUGGGUGUUUUGUGUCUCAGUUCGAGAGAUGUUACUACAUCUCAUUCCGUGAGUUAAUCAUGAUUUGCUUGACCUUCGUGAAGAUCGAAUCCUGUAGAGCUUCCCUCUCUUUCCCUUGUCGUGUUGGGUGAAGAUCUCGAAAGCAAAGAUGUCAAGAUCAACAUGAUGCAAUGAAUCAACAUCUUCGAGAAGAGCAAUUGGAUCGAGAAGAUGGUGUUAGCUUUGUGUCCCCCCUGUCUUCUUACCUCACGUCUUGAAUCUCGGGACGAGAUUUUUGUUUAGUGGGGGUGGGUUGUCACAGCCCUAGAUUCAUGGCUGUAAAUAGUUGCAUCAGUGGGCAUGCAUCAUGUUUAAAUUCAAAGGAAAUUUGAAUUGGGGAUGACCAAGCCCUGGCACUAAAUCAAUUCAACUAGGUUCAAGUUUAAAUCUUUUCAAUGAACCCAGAAUGCCCUUUAGAAAAGUUCAUGAUUUUUGAUAAAGGUGAAAACCUCUGCCAAAAAUGAUGCACAUAUUUUUAGGCCAUUAUGGUUAUUUGAAUUAACCCAUAUUGUAUUUGAAUUGGGGCAUUUAAAUACUAUAAAUAUUUUAAAUGCUCCAACAUUUUGGAAUUAGUUGAGGGCCUCUGGAAUAAUUCAUUUAGUGCCCACAACUAUUUUUCAGAAAUUUUAAAAGCAAUUUGGUUUGAAAAACCAAAUUAAAACAAAAUUGCAUAAAUAGAAAACAGAACAAAACUAGAAAAGACAGAGCAGAGAAAGCACUUACCUGGCGCUUACCUGGCCUGGCCCAGCACGGCCCAGCCCACUGGCCUGGUGCCAGUCAUCGCCUACCUUUGCCAGUAGGCAGAGGAGGGACACCGCGACGCCGCCGAGCUCGCCACGCCUCCUCCUGCUUGCCGCCGACCGCCUGGAGCUGGCUGGACACGCCACGCACCCCCCAGGNNNNNNNNNNNNNNNNNNNNNNNNNNNNNNNNNNNNNNNNNNNNNNNNNNNNNNNNNNNNNNNNNNNNNNNNNNNNNNNNNNNNNNNNNNNNNNNNNNNNNNNNNNNNNNNNNNNNNNNNNNNNNNNNNNNNNNNNNNNNNNNNNNNNNNNNNNNNNNNNNNNNNNNNNNNNNNNNNNNNNNNNNNNNNNNNNNNNNNNNNNNNNNNNNNNNNNNNNNNNNNNNNNNNNNNNNNNNNNNNNNNNNNNNNNNNNNNNNNNNNNNNNNNNNNNNNNNNNNNNNNNNNNNNNNNNNNNNNNNNNNNNNNNNNNNNNNNNNNNNNNNNNNNNNNNNNNNNNNNNNNNNNNNNNNNNNNNNNNNNNNNNNNNNNNNNNNNNNNNNNNNNNNNNNNNNNNNNNNNNNACGCCUCGCUGAUGCGCCCAUAAGCUCCGCCACUUCGUCCUCCACCCCCUCACCGAGCCACGCCCCGCCGGAAGCCCCCGAACGUCCUCACCGAGCUCGUCUCCAACCUCCCGACGAUGAGAUCGCCUCCGCCACCCCGACCGCUCCGGUUCUCCCCCGAGCUCGUGGUUCGCUUCUCUGCACUCGCCGUGAGCCACUGAUCCUCUCCCCCCUCACCGUUCUCGCUCUCGUGCACCGUAGCCACCGCACCUUGCUCGCCUGCACGGGCCGCCGCUUGUGCUCGUCGCCAACGUAUCUCCGGCCACCUAACGGUCCGGCCGUCGUGCUCAGCUCCCUCUCUGCGCCGCGUAGAGCACGUAGGUGCCCCGCACGGGCCACCCUGCCCACCGUAGCGUAGACCCCGAGCUCAUCCGAGCUCCGGCGACCGCCAAGGUCGACGCCGGUGAUGACUCCGGCCAUCCCAGGACCAACCGCUGCCACCACUCGACGUGGACGAGUGCCCGCGUCCCGCAGAUGCCCUUCGCCGGCCAUUUGGUCGCCGGAGGAGGAAUCCCGCAGCCCUCCGCCGUGUCUGGCCUCGCCGGUGUCACGUCGCCGGUGGGUUUAACCCCACUGACCCGGGGUUUGACCCUGUUUGACUUUCCCUGGGUCACUGACGUGUGGCCCAGGCCACUAACUAAACUAUAUUAGUGUUAGUUUAACGCUAACUAAAUUUAGUUAGUUUAAUUAACCCUGACAGACGGGACCCAUAGGUCAGGGUUGACCUGAACCGUCUCUGUUGACUGCUGACGUCACCCUGACGCAACGCUGACGCAAUAACUUAUUUACUGGUUUAUUCUUAUAUAGGAAAUUCUAGAAAAUGUUGCAAACUUCAAAAAUUCAUAGAAAUUAAUCUGUAACUCAGAAUGAAAUAAGUUAUAUAUGAAAAAUGCUCAGAAAAAUCCAAUCUAUCCAUCUGUACUGGUUUCAUGCAUGUUUAAACAAGUUAACUUGUUGUUUAGUGCAAAACAUGAUAAAGCACUAUUUAAGAUCACAAAUGAGUUUGAACUUCGAAUCUUUGGUUCAAAAUAGCUCAAACCCAUCUGGUUGUAGUUGCAUUAGCCCAACGCACUCAUAUUGCCAAGUCAUGAUCAUGCAUCAUAUUGUGCAUUGCAUUGAUUGUGUUUCCUCUCUAUUGCCGGUGGUUGUUCCCUCUCGAUAGACAUAUUCCGACGAUGAGUUCGAUGACACCGAUGAAGAGCUAUACUAUCUUCAGAAGUGCCAGGCAAGCAAAACCCCCUUGUUCAUUCCGAUACAAUCCCACUCUCUCGCUCCUGCUCUCUUUUACCGCAUUAGGACAACAACGUUUCAACUGUUACAUGCUGCGGUAGUUGAACCCCUUUCCUCUGCAUGACCUGUCAUUGCCACAGUAAAUAGAUGAAACCCACUAGCAUGAGUAGGAGUUGUUUGAGCCCUGAUGUGCCUACUCAUUCAUGCUUGUUUGUCAUGCCUGCUACUGCUUAAAGUUGAGUAAGGUCUGAUUCAUUGGGGGUGAAUUGGAAUGUGGUGAACAUGUCCUACUGUUGAGAGCUAAGUGUGUGAACACGAUUAGGUAAAGGUAGCGGUGAGAGGCCAUGUAGGAGUACAUGGUGGGUUGUCUCAUUGAAACCAUCCUCAGGAACUGAGUUCUAUGUUUGUGAUCAUGAACAGUUACUACCACACAUUGGGUUCCGGUAACUUGACCCCUCUCGACUUAUUAAUCAACUUGAUCUCUGUCCAGGAGUUGCAACUAGUUUCUGGUGUUUGUAGGUAGUGUUAGUAGUCUACCAAGUAGCACCCGGUACAGGUGGGCUUGGGACAGACUAGGCACCGUGGCCGGGUAUGCCAAGCGCCGCCCGUUUGGUGGGCUUGGAACCCUGUACACAUCGUUUGGGGCCGUGAGCGACACCCCGGCUGGAUCUCCUUGCGGAUGGAACCCGAAUAGGCGAUAAACCUGGACGAGAGACUUGUGUGGUUAGUCAGGUCGUGGCCGACUCCCUCGCCAGGCUUCCGCUUGAAGGUUGCCGAGAUACACGACGUGUACAUGGUGGUAAGUGGCGAGAGCGUGUGUGAAGAAGUACACCCCUGCAGGGUUAACAUCAUCUAUUCGAAUAGCCGUGUCCGCGGUAAAGGACUUCUGGGUUGCCUGUACAGUUCAUAGACAAGUGAAAGUGGAUACUCUAAAAUGCGCAAGAUAAGCGUGAGUGCUAUGGAUGGCGUUCUCGUAGGGAGACGGGAGCGGAUCCAUAGUGGUGUAUUUAUAUGGUGAAUAUGUGGACUCGUGUGCGCCACCUCAACAGAGUCACUUGCAGUUGUAGUUCAGGUUAGCCACCAAGUCAAAGCUGGCUUGCUGCAGUUAAACUCCACCACCCCUUUGUUGAUACCGAUGCAUAUGUAGAUAGUUCUGAUGUAAGUCUUGCUGGGUACAUUUGUACUCACGUUUGCUUAUUUUAUGUUUUGCAGAGAGACUUCAGUCUCGCUAGUAGUUCCAUGUGGACUUCGACGUUUAGCUUGUUACCUCAGCUACGAUCUUGUACCCUUGGGAGGGUCUGGUAGAUAGUCAGGCUUCUCAGCCUUUUUCAUUUGUAGAUGUCUGUACUCAGACAUGUUAAGCUUCCGCAUGUGCUUUGACUUGUAUGCUCUGAAUGUUGGGUCAUGAGACCCAUGUUUGUAAUAUCUCGCUCCUCGGAGCCUAAUGAAUAAAUACUCUGAGUCGUAGAGUCUUGUUGUGAUGCCAUGUUGUAUUUGCACAUAUCGAGCAUAUUGUGUGUAUGAUUGAAAUGCUUGGUAUGUGUGGGAUCCGACAACCUAGUUGUUUAUCCUUGGUAGCCUCUCUUAUGGGGAAAUGUAGUCUUGUGCUUCCAUGAGCCAUAGUAGUCCGCUACAACCCGGUUCACCAGAGUCCUGCUAGCCCAGCACUACUGCUCCGGAACACUUGACUGGCCGGCAUGUGAUUCACUUCUUUCCUGUGUCUGUCCCUUCGGGGAAAUGUCACUCGGUGACAUCCGGAGUCCUGCCUAGCCUGUUAUAGCCCGGUUCACCGGAGUUCUGUUAGCCCAGUGCUACAGCCCGGAUUCGCACGCUGCUGACCGACAUGCUCGAUGUUGAUUCAUGUAUGCUUGUCCCCGUAAGUUAGUGCCACUUUGGGUUCACGACUAGUCAUGUCGGCCCGGGUUCUCUGUCAUAUGGAUGCUAGCGACACUAUCAUAUACGUGAGCCAAAAGACGGAAACGGUCCCGGGCCAUGGUAAGGCGACACCCAUGGGAAUACCGUGCGUGAGGCCGCAAAGUGAUAUGAGGUGUUACCGGCUAGAUCGAUGUGACUUGGAAUCGGGGUCCUGACACUAGGAGUGGCGCGACCGUCCUCGCGAGGACCGCUGGCAGGAUCAUCCUCGCGAGGGCGCCUGGAGAGACCAGCCUCAUGAGGACCGUCCUCAGGGCAACGCCGGUCUUCCCCACUGCCGCCACUGCCAAGGAGGAAUGACGACCACCACCAAGACGAGGGGGCUGGGGGCUUCCAGGAGCCGCGUGCAAUCGCCUGCAUCUUGGGCAGAGCUCAGGCCCCAGCCUCGCAGCGCAUCUUCAAACAGUUUGCUCGUGAAGUGAACGCAGUCCUCCCCAAGCUCGAGGCCACGCGCCCGCUCAAGUGGUCCCAGUGCGCCAUCACCUUCAACUCGGCAGACCAGCUCAAGUGCGUAGCCACCGCUGGUGCCCUCCCAAUGCUCUAUUCACCAGUCAUCAGCAACAUGCAAGUUACCAAGACCCUCAACGACGGCGGGGCAGGGCUCAAUGUCCUGUCCGUCAACACAUUCGACAACCUCCAAGUGCCAUACGAGCAGCUUCAGCCUACCAAGCCUUUCUCAGGAGUGACCGACGGUUCCACCACACCGAUUGGGCAGGUCCGCCUCCCUGUCACCUUCGGGGAACGUAAGAACUACCGCACCGAGCUCAUCGACUUCGACGUCGCCCACAUCUGCCUGCCGUACAACGCCAUCCUCAGGUAUCCAGCCCUAGCCAAGUUCAUGGCCGUCACCCACCACGGCUACAACGUCCUCAAGAUGUCGGGAAGCGGUGGGAUCAUCACGGUCCCAUGCGAAGAAAGAGAUGCGGUGUGCUCCCUCGAGCGCGCCUUCCAAGCUGCGGCAAUCGACGACCCCGAUAGCAGAAGUGAGGGCCCUCCGGAGGCCAUCCCCAAGAAGAAGCAGAUGCGCCGUGUCGGGCCUCAGGAGGGUGGCAUAGCAGCUGGAACCUCGUCAGGAUCAGCGCCCGCUCCAGGGGCGCCUCCCUCCGUCGCAUAGGAAGGCGCGCCCGGCGCCCUCAUCGGGCAGGGCUCGGGGGCUUUCUUCUGGAAGGCCUCGGACCUUGCCCACAUCAUGAGGGAGGCGCUUGGGCACCACUUGGAGGCAUGCUUCGCGGCACGUUUCCCUCAGGAGAUCACAGGAAAGGGAGCGCCCACCGCUCAGGAGUUCAUCACCAAGGCCACCCAGGAACUGCAAGACACAAGGACCAUGCGCGGCGACCGCCGCUCACGACGCACGGCCCUCAUCCAGGCGAGGAUGCCGGGCUGCACGUCUGCAUCGACGUCCCAGGGCUCAACAGGGCCGCACCUCAGUAGCUCUUCUGGCCUUCGCGCGUGGGACACUGCGAGGGUCCACCGCACAGCUACGUUCGCAUGCCCUUUGGCCUACCGAGCGUGUCGUCAGCCCAUCAGUGCAACAUGUGGCACAUCAUGGCGGCUCAGGAGGCCAGGCACCACGCCGUCCUGGCAGAGAUGGAGAUGGUCCUCAGGGAACCACUUGAGCCCCCAGAGCCUCCCGAGGCUCAGGGCCCCGGUGGCUCAUGAGGAGCCAUUCCUUCGUCGUGUUCCUUCAGCUGCACCAACUCUCCUUCGUCGACAGAACCAGGUGACAUUUUCCAAUUUCAUUUAGCUUGGAGCGCCCCUCGGGCUGCAUUAUUCCCGGGCAGCGUGGGUCCGCCCCCGUGGCGUGUAUCCUUUGCUUAUGUCUUUAGCUUACCUUGCUGGGGGCGCCCCUCGGGCUACAUCAUCCCCAAGCCGCUUGGGCUUGUGGCAUGUAUCUUUCCGCAUUUACUCAAGCUGGUUUGCCUUCCAUGCUUAAUCUGCUUGGUUACCACCUGCUCGAUCGUCACCCGCCAUGGGUCCAUCCAUCCCAUGCAAUUCGCUUGCGCGUUAAAAGAGGGGCUCCUGAGCAUCAUGACUCAGGAGCUCUUACUGGCUCUCCAGCCCUCACCCCCUGGCCUUGACCAUGGCAUCGUGACCUGGCAUACCAGCGGCGGCUGAGCUCGCUCGAGGGCCGGGACCUGAGGACGUAGAGUGCUUGCACCUAACCGUAUUGCAGGAACACACAGCCAUCAAGACUCAAGACCAGGCGCAACCCGCCUUGAGGUAGGGCCUCGUGAGUCCCGCGCUAGCUCACGAGUGCCCAGAUACACCUCGCAGCCCUGCCGUGCAAGCCACGUGUCAGGGCGGGGUUGUACACGCCCCGGGAGCUCCUCCCGGAGGGGGCCCCCUCCCAUGCACAAGUGGAAGCACCAUGCUCCGCGCAGGCCGUCGACACUGCCGAGGAGCGGCUAUGCCCGUGCACAAGCGGAAGCACUAUGCUCCGUGCUGGUGAUAAACAACUGAGGGCGGCUUCAUGGUCGUACCAACCUCAGGGAGCCCCAGAGCUCAGCGUCCAGCCUCACCACAACGCCUCCCCUCGGGAGAGGCGCGCGAGGGGGCUGGGCACGGGGGCUGCGCUCGGGUCACGCCCAAGCGCACGCCACCCAACCAGGUCUCCCGGACCUGGUCGUCGCACGCCCCUCCCGAGGCCUCGGCGAGGACAUGUAUGGAAGCUGUUUGCACGUCAAGGGGGACUCCUGAGCAUCGCGACUCAAGAGCCUAACUGGUUACGUAGCCCCUCACUCCUUGGUCCGUCCUGGUCUCCGGUCGUCCCAAUGGCAGUUGAGGUAUGCGCGGGGCCGGGCUCUGCCGACGUAGAACGUUAAUCUAUCCUCGCGAACUCUCCCUAUAAACUGUUUGCGCGUCAAGGGGGACUCCUGAGCAUCGCGAGUGAGGAGCCUAACUGGUCACGUAGCCCCUCACUCCUUGGUCCGUCCUGGUCUCCGGCCGGCCCAAUGGCGGUUGAGGUAUGCGCGGGGCCGGGCUCUGCCGACGCAGAACACAAGGCAAGUAGGAAGGAAUGCACAAAAUCUCGAAGCAAAUAGUACAAACAUAUUGUCCUCACAAUACCAAAUGAAAAGUCUAAACGCCUCCACGAGGCCUGAUGCAUGUUGCAGGAACGAAACAGGAAACUAGCCGCAGGUCACCCCUGAACACCGCCAUCACCGGCGGAAGGUGCUCCUCCGUGGGUGACGUCGCCUUCACCCGCACCACCAGCCGCAGGAUCGGUGGCAUCGCCGAACAAGGGUGCCGAGUCAAAGCCGCAAAACUUCUUCAGCAGGGCCUCCACCUGACCUUGCAUGGCUGCAGCGGCGGCUGCGCUAAGAUCAUCAGCCAUGGGCUCCAGCAGCUCGUCAAGACAAGAGUUGGGGUCGCGAAGGUACAGAUGGCUGAAGACGCGAGUCAAUGCAGCUGAAGACAGGACGCGAGCUUCUGCCUCCGCCAUGGGACCGACACCGUCAACGACUUCCUCGAGCGCCUUCACCAAGAGAGGAAGCAGCCGGGCGGGGCCAUCCUCAUCGGUGGCCAGCGACUUCUCCAGGCCGUGCUCGUAGAGCAUCUUCAUUGCCUUGCGAGAUCUCAUCUCGAGGUCGGCAAAGGCCGCGCGGUCCUCAGCCAGGACCCGCGCCUUGGCGUCAAGAUCGGCCUCCCUCGCCUUCACCUUCCUCUCCAGCUCUUCCAACCGGUUGCGCUCGGCGGCCUGCGUCUCCCCCAACUCCGCCAGCUCAGCGUCACGGUUCUUGAAGGCGUCCUCCCGGGCCUUCACCUCCUCCUCCUUCGCCAGGCGGCCGCGUGCUUCUUCGGCGUGCUUGUCGCGUAGGCUCUGCAACUCGCCCUCCAGCUCUUGGCAGCAGUCGCGGGCGGCCUUAGUGUCGUUCAGCGCCACCUCACAGUCGGCUAUAGCGUUGGCGGCACUCUGCCUCUCCUUCUUGGAAGAUGCUGCAGCCUGGCUCAAUGCCGGGCGGACCGCCAAGUCGGAGUGAAGCCAGCCAGAGGCCAGCUCCAGACGCCCGGCCACCAUGCGCGGGUCCGCGCUCAGGAGAUCUGCCUGCAACUGGGUCGUCUCCGAAAGAGCGCGUUCCAAAACAGCAGCAGGAGCAGAAGAACCUGGGAGUGGAGGUGCAACAGUGGGAGGAGGCAAUGUCGUCACCAAAGCCUGAGAGGCUGCAGGUUCCGGAGCAGUCGGGACCUCUCCAGCCAAGCCAGACACCGGCACCUCCAGAGCCAGUGGGGGCAUGGGGGCUGAUUCCACUCGGUGAUGCCCUUCUUGGCCUCGCGGGGGCGACCGGGUUGGGGAAGUGCGAGUGCUGCUGCUGCCUCCUUUCCCUACGAAGAGAGGCGCGGUCGUUGCAUCCUCCUUCCUUUUCUUUGUCGAAGGCACUGGCCUGAUCAACCAAGGGUGAACAUCAGGAAAUGACGAGUACAAGCAGGGACAAGACAAAGCUCAAGGCUCUUACCCAUCCACCGCGACGUAUUCCACCUUCCUCUUGGGAAGCUUGAAGCCUGACAACGUCGGGGCUUGAGAAGUGGGCGCGCGGGCCCUGGCGGAAGAAGGGCUGGAGCCGGCCUCAGGAGGCAUCAAGACAGAGGCAGCAUCCCGAGGAACCAACGACGACCUGCCCCUUGUCGGGAUGAGAGGUUGCUCCCUCUCCUCCUGGUGAGCGUUGGCCUCGGUGUCGUCAGGAAGGGCGCGGAGGAUCUCGGCCUUGCUCAAGGGAGGAGUCUCGCCCACCUCCUCCAGAGUCUUGUCCGAGUCCACCCCUUCUUCCUCCUCCCCACGGGACUCGUCAGAGGACACCUCCACCGGAUUCGGUGCUGCAGAAGGUCCUGCGAGCGCUGGCGGCACCAGCCGGCGCGCGUUGAAGGUCGGCCUGGAAACCACAAAUGGCUCCCAGUCCUCGCGCAGGAACAAAGGAGUGAAGACACUCGGCGGGUACACCUGGUUCUCCCCAACCAGGAGGCGCAGGACUGCGACCAGUUCGACACAAGGAAGGGGCCCCUGUCUCAGGCGGGUCUUGUCUUCAUCAUCACCGAGCUUCCACAAGGGACGUGCACGCGCCUGAAGCGGGGCGACGCGCAGCACCAGGAACUCCCUCAGGAGCAUGGCCCCUGUGACCUUCGCCGCCUUUGCGUUGCCAGGCUUCAGGUCCUCCUGCAUCUGCGCCAACACCGGCAAUGCCCGCUCGUCGGCAAGCUCUGCACGGAGCCACCCCUUGUUGGACUGGGGCGCCUCCGUCGGCGGUACCAGCCGCGGAUGGGCGUGCUUAGCAUCCAUCAUGACCCAUUUGGCCCAGAUGUUGUCGGCCCUCUUCCCGGUGCUCGAGAUUGAGUUGGCCUUGCCGGACGCGACGAAAUUGGUGCACCCGGAGACGUGCCCAUCACUGACGCGAAGGAGGUAGAAGUGGUGUAGGAGCGCCACGGAUGGCAUCACGCCCAGAUACGCCUCGCGGUAGUAGGCGAAGAUGGACAGGAGGAGGACAGAGUUGGGAUGGAGGUGAAGCGCCUGCAACCCGUAAUGGUUGAGGACCUCAUAAAAGAAAUCAGAGAAGGGAGGAACCAACCUGACGGCGAUGUUGCUCGAGAAAAAGGGGAAGAAGGUGCUCCCCUCAGGCUCCGGCAUGUCGGAGGCAAGCCGGAGUUCCGUCUUCCCCCAUUCAUUGCUCUCCCCCGCCGUCAGCAGGCGCAUGGAGGCGAGGCUCUUUUCUGUGACGGUGGGCGCCUCAAGAGCUGGCUCAUACCAAGCCGGCGCCGAGGAGGACUGGACCCUGCGCGGCUCCAUCUGUCGCGGGUGCGGAACUAGAUUGGAGCAGAUCUGGAGGUAUCGGUGGCAAGAAGCAAGAAAGGGGAUCUGGAACGAGGCGGGGAAGAAGCAAUGAAGUCAAGCGCUGUCCGCGCCAGCCUUUUGUCCAAUCGAGCAGUUGCCGAGGUAGCGUGGGCAAGCGGAGACGCCCACGUCCAAUCAACCGCCACGCAUCAACCGAGGCCGCAGGCUUUUGGAGCCCGCGGUGCUCCGUACUUGACCCUCGGCUUCGCCUCGAAGCCAAGCCCGAGCACGCCUUGGGCCGAGGGCUACUGUCGGCGUUCUGGGAAUGGGGGUCCCCAGACUUGCCUGCCUGCGGCCCACGGCAUGGCUAACCUAGCGGGCCGUAUGGCCCAUCUUCAUCAACAAGGCAAUCAAGACCUUCGCAAGGGGCCAAGCCUCGCGAGGCGGACGAUGCAAGACUUCCUCCAGAGUGGCCUAGCCAAGCAGGCUCGCGAGGAGCGGAGAUAUCAAGGCGGGGCAGACCUCACAAGGCCCUCGUGACGUGAGCCAUGACGACCGAUACCAGGCGGGCGCCAGGGUGCGCAGCGUCCUUGUUUCCUCUUUGAUGCUAAAGAGGCAGGCGCAGGCGCGGAGUACCGAGGCAUCAAGCAAAGGUUUCCAUAUAAGUGCAACGAGACCUAGACCAACAGGACGGCCAGGCGGAGGUCACCAUGGAGCCCAAGACGGCGUCAUCAUCAGAGCCUUUAGCAGGCGAAGACCACUUUUGUCAGGAUAGUUUGUACUAGCUGUCCCCUUUCAAAUUUGCCCGCCGUUGUUGGCUCCCUUCCCGCUCAAUAUUUGGGGAGAGGACCAGGGCCUAUAUAUAUAUGUAGAGCUAGCCACCACAGUAGAGGCAAUCUGAUCCAGAGGCAUCUCGCUCACACACCACAAGAACACCUCAACCUCAGGAGGCUGUUCUUCCCCUUGUACUGUUUAUCCCCAGCCCAAGAGGCAAUCCACCACCACACACUGGAGUAGGCUAUUACACCACAACGGUGGCCCGAACCAGUAUAAAUCUCGUGUCUUUUUGUGUUUUGAGUUCGUUGAGUUCGCCCGCGAGAUCUUAGUGAGCUAGGGCGUGGAUCGGUAGGAGGGAAAGAACUUCGCGCGCACCCCAGAGUUCGAACCUUAAGGGUUUUGCCGGAACCUGAGAUCCGACAAACUCAACUCGCAGUGGAUCAUCAUCAAAGCUGAUAUACACUUCUGUGAUGCUAUUGAACACAAUGGCAUCAUCUACGCGAUCGACAAAGCAGAUGGCACCACAUAUUGCUGGGGCGGCGCGUGUAAGUUGUUUCAUUCUCAUGUUAAUGAUGACGCCAUGACACUGUUUGAACUUUUUGUGAUGAUUGGCAUAUCCCUGUUUGAGCAGAAUUUGAGUAGAACUAUGGCAAUGUAUUAGAGACGCCGUAAAUCAGCUAUAUUUGGAAUGAGUUAAUUCAUGCGAUUGUGAUCAUGUCAUUAGAGCCAAUUUGUACUCCUGAAUAAUCAAACGGUUAGGAAUAUAUGGAUAUUCUCCUUAUUUUACAGUAAUCUAUAUACUACUACUAAAUAUGAGUGUGUAUCAAUGGCCAUGUUAGUUUCCUCAUUUUCAUGAUGUAGAAAUAUGCACCACACUGUUGGUUUCAUCUAACCAUACAUUAGGGAAGUAAAUGUGCAUAUGGAGAACUCUAUAUUUGGAAGUAGUGAAAUCCUGUAAUGCUUACCAUGUGUACAUACCUAUAUUCGCCCUUCAGCAAUCAAUGGCUAGAAUAAUAUCCUCACAAAAUUUUUGCCCACAGAACACGAGUAUAUAACAAUGCAUGGUCUGUUAGUUACCUUGAAGAAUUUGUUUGUGAGGACAGAACAUGAUUACAUAACAUGCAUGACAUGGUAGUUUCUUGUGAAGAAGAUAACAUGAGUAUAACCAUGCAUGGCACUUUUAUAUUUUUGAACCCAGUAUACAUUUCCCUGUAUUUUCCUCCCAGUUCCAACAGGGACAUAUCAAUGCUGUUUCUUGCAUUAUCCUACUCAUACUCUGAACAAUGUUGAUCUUACAUUAACAAUGCCUGUCCUUUUUGAUAUGAUGCAGUGUCCUUACAGUUACUGCCCUUUGUAAUCACACCACCUUUGCCAAAAACAGGGAAGCACAACUAGUUCCUCGCUCGAUCAGACGACGGCAAAAGACUGAUGAUCAUUCGGACACAUGAGCCGGAAAAGUUAUAUUGCAAAAACCCUAAUGUAUACAAGCACCGUGAAAUACGUGAGUAUCCGAACAGUGGCUGUUACGUCUACGAGCAGGAUACCAGCUUGUUGGGGCCUUCAGGAUUUUUUAGUUGGAGGCGGGUAAACAGCCUUGGUUCACACUCUCUGUUUCUCGGACUCAAAUAUCCGAGUAACCAGGAGAUCACCGUUGGCAAGGACCUUGAUGGCAGAGAGGCUCUGUUUGCUAUGGAAAAUUGUGUCUACACGGCGAGCCCUAGGAGUUCGGGAGCAAACUCCCCUGAUUGUCAACGAUACAGCCUGCAGCCAAAAGAAGGUGAGAAUGACAAAGGCAUCCAGAUUAACUUUGAUCCUUGGAUGUCUCAAUUACGACAGGCAGUGAUAUGGUUCAAGCCUUCAGGUUGAUAGGUAAUUGGGUUGUUGCGUCGAAAGGGUGGAGUACUGGUGUCUUCGGAUCAUUGGUCGCUGAAGCGGGGGUGCAAAUUAUGAUGGUGUUGGAUCAUCUCUUCGAAUGACUUUGUUGUCUUUGCUGCUUGUUCUGGAUGGGUAGUUCUUUCUUUUGUUAUGCAUAUUCCUUGUCAUUUGGUCAUCCUCGUCUAUGUCACUCUUACUAUGUAAUAGUUGCCUCUGUUUAGAAUGUCAUUCUCGUCUGGAUCACGAGAUUCUGAGCGCUGCAGAUGGGUGCGUUUUGGUGGUGUAGCAAGACUUCUUAUGAACUAUCAUAUCUUGCUGUUUAUGUCAGUAGUAGUCACUAGUCAGUGUUUGAAUGUUGUAUAUAUCGUUGUUUCGAACUGUUUAUUGUCUCGAACUACUGGUGGGCUAAAUGAGGGCAUCACCAUUCUCAAGUGUUUAGAGUGUAUCUCCUUUUUUCAAGUUAUAUAAUUUGAGCUCAGUGUCUUUUCGAUGAUGUACACUUGUUUGGGCCAGUGAGGUGUCAUUGAAUAUGGGCCGAGUAGUAACGCAAUGCCAAACAGGUUAAUUAUGAUUCUCAGGCCAGGCUCUCAAAAGAUCCUAAAAAAAGGCCGGGCUCUCCAAAAAAGAAAGAAUAAGGACUCUUAGGCCGACAUGUGGGCGCCACUGGUGUUUUCGUGUGCUUGCGCGCCGAGAGCAUAUUGGCACGUGUUCGAAAUUCAAGCUACCUUUUCAUCCCCAAUCUCCCGCCCCUCCCCCACCUCUGGAAUCUCGAUUCCUACUCCAGUUCCCCCAAAUCCCCCUCCUGUACUCCCUGUACUCAAGCUCACUAUCAUGUCGCCGGUCAACGCAGAUCUCAGAGCCGGAGAUCCUGAGGUUCGUCCUGCCUUCGGUCGCCGCGUGCUGUCGCUCAACAGUGGCAUGGCGGCGCUUGAUGACCAGUUUGCCGACAAAGUGCUGAUGGUAACCAUCAACGGCGACCAGCCUCCCGUCUCGCCGGACGACCUUGUCAAAGCUCUUGGCAUUGCGCACGGCAUCCAAAUAACUGACUUGCUCGUCGAAGUCUGUCCGCCACCGGCUGAUUUCUUCGUCAGGUUUCGAACAACUUUCGGCUGCAGUCGUGUGUUCGAAUCUUCCUGGCGUUUGUUCUGCGAUGGCGUGCUGGUGAGCUUUGAUCGGUGGCACCCAGGAUGGGGCUCGGUGCCCUUUGAGCUUGAGUUUUUAACAAAGCUUACCUUCCACGACAUGCCUCGACGUGCUUGGAACAGUGAGUCCAUGAAUGAGCUUAUCAACGACCUUGGAGGUGAGCUUGUAAGUAUGUUUGUUCCUCCAGAUAGCUGGGCUCUAACGGUUAUGGCAUGGAUGAAGAAGCCGUCCACCAUACCGAAGGUGAUUGGUGUUGAGAUACCAGUGUAGGAACCGGGGUUGUACUAUUCAUCGCCACCAAGGCCGGCGCGGACCACGUUAGGGAUGUACCUGUAUUGAGUGUUCGUGCAUAUCGAAGAAGUGGUCAAUCCAUCAAUCAAAGUCCUGCCGCCGCCGCUGGUGCUCGGGUCCAUCGACGACGUCCAUUACAGGAGUCAACGUCAGACUUUCCCCGUGUUGCUCGGAACGAUGGAUGGCACAGGGCCUACUCCAUCGUGCGGCGGAGGCCACCGCUUCUUUGGGAGAAGAGGCAGGGCUGGCUGCAUGGAUGUGCUCUAAUUUGAGGUAACAACUGAAUCUUGUCAGAUACUAGUUAAAUCCGAGCUAUGGGUGUGAAGCACUGAUGUGCCAGUACAUUUGAUUGUGACAUGUUCUAAUUUUGUACCUGAACUGUUUUUAGAAAGGGAUGUACGUCAACUUAAUGUGCUAGCAGAACUUAUUGUGUUGUCUGUCUGUUUUCUUGGCACAACAUUCAAGAUAUUUCUCUGUCAUUGAUAAAGAUGAUGAACCGUUAUGUAAGAGUUCGUUGGUUUCAACAUAGCCCUACCCGUAGCGAUCCACUGCAUCCAUCCUGAUUGUGCCGCCUGCGUGAAAUUUUGGUAUGCAAGUUCAGUGUGCUAUGAUGUUCUAUAUGAUUGUGUCAACUAUAUAAGUUUUUACUGAGCAUGAGCAAUGCAUAUGGCUUAAAGAUGUAUUUACGAGCAUCGACCGAUGGGUCUCUCUCUCUCUCACACACACACGCACAAGUGGGACCCGUUGAAUUAUUUCUUUUCUCGUGACAACUUUUAAUUAGGUUCCACUGUAAUCUAACUUUUUUCUUAAGUUAUUAAUUGAGCUCGGUGACUUCAAAAGGUUGUACAGAAGCCUUGUUUGGGCCUUUCCGGCGUCGCUGAAUGUGGGCUGAGUAGCCAUGUUAGGUUGUACUGUACUACACAGGACUUUCUUUUCAACAUCAGCAAUGCAACCGGGCCGACAGUUGUACACAAUAUCCGGGUCAACUUGUUAUUCUCCGCCCCGCUAGGCUGCAAACUUUCCUAGGACGUAUGCAUUAGGCUUAACAAGAAAAUGGACUUUAAGAAAUAUAAAUGGGAUGUAAUUAUAAUAACUGGGCAGUAACUAUAAAAAAAUGCACGAAACGCGUAAUUAGUUUAAAAAAUAUAUUAUUUUUGGAAUUUGAAAAUUUUAAUUUCAUUACUUGUUGCGCGCGCAAUAUUCCGUUGGAUUUUAACGUAAUACAACUUUAUUUUGAAAUUAUAUUUAAUCUUACUAGAAAUUUCGGAAAAAUAUUUCGGAUCCCAUAAAAAUGUGGGAAUUUUUUUUGAAUUCUGUUUUGAGCGGUUGGUUGAAAUUAUUAAUCGUUGUCCUAGCUAGAAAAUGGGAUGUACUUUUAACAAACUGUAAAUGGGCUGUAGUAAAUUCCAUUAGAAUUAAAAAAUGGGCUGUACAUUCUUACAAAUCGCAAAUGGGCUAUAUGUUCUCUGCCACACACUUGUGGGCCUUCUAAGUUGACGCGUCCCCUAAAAAACUAAGUUGACGCGUAUGCAAGGCUUUGUCAACAACACACAGUUCUGGCAGCUGUGGCCGUCAGAUGUCCAUCCAACGGAUGUCGUGCUUCUUCUUCAACCUCGGAUAUUCUUGCAUCAGCAGCCCAAAAAAUGAUUCCUCCCCCUGACAUCUAGGGCGCACCGUUUCGGAGGCUGACCUGUGGGCCUACUAAGUUGACGCGUACCAAGGGCUUUGUCAACUUAGUCAAUAUAAACGAUUCUAGCUGCAUGACCGUACGAUGUCCAUCCAACGGCCGUAGUGCUUCUUCAACCUCUUGUCUUCUUGCUCCAGCCGCCCAAAGCAGCGCCGGUCGUGCCGCGUGCUCCUGCCUCCUGUGGCCGGCUGUGAUGCCGCAGAGGCCUCGCCGCCCCCUACUACUCCCACCGCUGGCUAGGCCAUCCCUCUACUCACCCAUACCCCCUGUUAUUCUACGGUGACGGCAGCCUCACACCGCAGCCGAACCAGUGAACCGUCGUACUCCUCUCCGCGCGGGCUUCCACUGCCGCGUCUUCCCCGGCUCCGCGUCGUCCCCUUCCUAGGCAUCGCCGUCGUCCACCGCUCUGGUGCUCUCGGCGCAGCAUGGUCAACGUGGUCAAGGAACGGCUUCCAUCGGACGUGGACUGUACGUGGAGAGGCUGACAGCUGGGUCCACGGCCGCAGCAAGGAAGUGCCUCCUUAUUACGCGGAAAAUAAUGAUUCCUCCACCUGACAGCAGGGACCCAUCGAACGGGCCACCGUAUUUCGCAAAAAAAAACGUUUCCCCCUGACUGCUGGGACCCACCGGACGGGCCACUGUAUUUCGCGAAAAAAUGUUCCCCCCACUGUCAGCUCGGACCCACCGAAAGUGCCUCCUUAUUAUGCACAAAAAAUGAAUACUCCCCCUGCUAGUUGGGACCCACCUUGGUGGGAGGCUGACUUGUGGGCCUACUAAGUUGACGGGGACGGAGUGCUUUGUCAACUUAGUCAAUAUGAACGAUUCUAGCUCCAGUGACCGUACGAUGUCCAUCCAACGGCCGUAGUGCUUCUUCAACCUCUGGUCUUCUUGCUCCAGCCGCCCAAAGCAGCGCCGGUCGUGCCGCAUGCUCCUGCCUCCCGUGGCCGGCUGUGCUGCCGCGGAGGCCACACCGCCCCCUACUAUUCCCACCGCUGGCCAGGCCAUCCCUCUACUCACCCACACCCCCUGUUAUUCUGCGGCGACGACAGCCUCACACCACAGCGAACCAGUGAACCCUAGUACUCCUCUACACGUGGGCAUCCACUGCCACGUCUUCCCCUGCCCCGCGUCGUCCCCUUCCUAGGCCUCGCCGUCGUCCACCGCCCUGGUGCUCUCGGCGCGGCGUGGUCAACGUGGUCAAGGAACGGCUUCCAUCGGACGUGGACUGUACGUGGAGAGGCUGAUAGCUGCGUCCACGACCGCAGCAAGGAAGUGUCUCCUUAUUACGCGCAAAAUAAUUAUUCCUCCACCUGACAGCGGGGACCCACCGGACGGGCCACCGUAUUUCGCAAAAAAAACAUAUCCCCCUGACUGCUGGGACCCACCAGCAACAUCUUUGCAUGCAAGGAAAUGCGUCCGGGCAAAAAAAAAACGAUUCGCCCCCUGACUGCUAGGACCCACCAGCUACAUCUUCGCACGCAAGGAAGUGCCUGACAGUCGGGACCCACCUGGUCGAAGCGUACGUAGCGUUGUCAUUCUGGUCGCGAACGUGUACGUACAUACUGGUCAAUGUAGAGGCGCGCACGUGUCAUAGUAGAGGCGCGCACGUAGCAUGUACACGUACGUACAACGGCCAGGGUGUAAGAAAGUAAAUACGGCCACGUACGUACAUACGGGCGGGGUCUCAAACGCCUACUCGCGCGUACGUACGGCCAGGGCUCGUGUACAUGGCUGGGUCGGAACGGAGGAACAGCGUCGUCGUCGUGUUCAUGGGGAGCCAACCGGCUGGGUCGGAACGGAAUGCGUGGUCGUGUUCAUCGGGAGGGCUUGGACGGAACAGCCGAUGGAAACGAGGCCUGGCAUACCGCAGAACGGAGGAGAUGGCCUUGUGUUCGACCGACCACGUUCAAAACGGGAUCCUGUUCAUCGGGAGGGGUCUGGCGUACCGCAAAACGGAGGAAACGGACCUCCUACGGUCGAAACGGGGGUCCUGUUGAUCGGGAGGGGUGUGGCGUACCGCAAAACGGAGGAAACAGACUUGUGUUGGAGCGCUACGGUCGAAACGGGGGUCCUGUUCAUCGGGAGGGGUGUGGCGUACCGCAAAACGGGACUCCACGGGAUACUGUUCAUCUCCACUGUCGACCCCCUCCAGCCUCCACGGGCUACUGUUCAUCCACCGUCGACCUCCUCUAGCCUCCACCUGCGACUGUUCAUCCACGGGCUCCUGUUCAUCCAGCCUCCACCGCGCGCUACUCCACCGACUACUGUUCAACCAGCCCUCUCCACGGGCUCCUGUUCAACCACCCCUCCACGGGCUACUGUUCAUCCAGCCCUCCACCGUCUACUGUUCAUCCAGCCCUCCACGGGGUGGUCCUCUUCAUCCAGACCUCCAUGGGGUCCUGUUCAUCCAGCCCCAACCGGCUCGAUCGAUCGGGGUCCUGUUCAUCUAGAGGCACACCACGGGGUCCUGUUCAUCCACCCCCACCGGGAACUGUUCAUGCAAACCCCCCCCAGCAACGCUCACUGUUCAUCCAGAGGCAGCAUCGAUCGGCUUCAGUUAGCAGCAGUAGCGAAGGAAUCGCUCGUUUGGGUUCAGUUAACAGCCAUCGAUCGAUCGCUCGGGUUCAGUAACACGUAGCCUGCAAUGCAAUCGCUCGGGUUUAGUUAGAGCCCAAAGCCUCGCACCCACGCGCGUGCGUGUACGAGAGAAACGUGCAUCGCUCGGCCCCAACCACCCACCGUAACCGGGAACACCCCGAUAUUUUCCUCGCCCUCGCUUCUACCACGGUUUUUCCAUCAUGGACGGCCCAAAGAAUGUCAUGCAGCUGCAUCUCCGGCCCACCCAGGACGAAAAGCCCAUUUUCUGUCAUGAUUUUUUGUCAUAGAAGUAGGACCCCACCACAUCUGUGAUGAUACCAUGUUUUGUCACAAUUAUUGUCAUAGAAGUGUCAUAAGUAUGACAGAAAAAAAUUCGUUCGGCCCAAAAUGUCACGGAUGUGUCUUUUUUUUGUAGUGGUGGCUCCGUAUAUGGACGAACACAAGAAUUUUCUACGCUUCAAACACCCGGAGCAGUCUGACGACUGGAUUACACAUGAACAAACGGGGACUUUCACCGGCUGGUUGCAGACAUGUGCCAUGCAUGACGCCGCUAUUGAAGAUGACCUGUACUUGCUGUCCCAGGUACCAUCUUCGAAUAUAAUGACUUUCAAAGGGUACGAGAUAAAGGGGAAUACAUUUUACACGAUCACCCAAGAUAAGAAGAGCACCAACCAAAACAGUGGUGUCCGCUUUGAUGCAGCAACCAAGAUGGGAAAGGAAAUAUAUUAUGGUUACAUAGAGGAAAAUAUGGGAACUUGACUAUGGACGUGGUUUGAAGGUCCCUUUGUUUCGGUGCAAAUGGGUCAAUAUGACACUAGGCGGGGUAACAGAAGACCCACAGUAUGGAAUGACAACAGUGGAUCUCAACAAUCUUGCGUAUGCAGACGCACCAUUCGUCCUAGCCAAUGAUGUGGCAUAGGUUUUCUAUGUGAAUGACAUGUCUACCAAGCCUAGAAAAAGAAAACAUAAGGAAGCGAAUGCAUCAUACGAUGUGCCAAAGUGCCACAUAGUUCUUUCUAGGAAAAGAAACAUCGUGGGAGUGGAUGACAAGACAGACAUGUCAGAAGAUUAUGAAAAGUUUGAUGAAAUUGCUCCAUUCACAGUGAAUAUUGACCCGAGCAUCCAGUUAAAUGAUGAAGAUUGUCCAUGGUUAUGGUGCAAAGGGACACACGCGAAGAAAAAGUUUCACACCCAAAGAUCUGGGAUGUGAUCAGCUUCACUGUCAUCACUUUCUUCUAUGUUUCACACCCAGGAGGGAAUCUUUGUAAUAGUUAGGGUACUUAUGUGUUUUGUCAUUUGAAACGCGAAGAAAUUUUAUGUGCAAACAAAUUCUUUCAUGCAUUUACUGAUUUUUUUCAGCUAAAUGACCCUGAAAUUGAAAAACACUUCAAAUGAACUCCGAAAAGGUUGAAAGUUGGCAUGGUAUAAUAAUUUCACCCACAUAGCAUGUGCAAAAAAUUAGAGAGGGUUACGGCAAAAACUGGAUGAACUUCGUGUACAAAAUGGACAAUCUCUUUCGAAGGAUCAGGGUUUCCGACGAAAACUCAUCUGUUACAAAGGCAUUUCAUUUUUUAAAUAACCUAAGUAUUACCAAAUUGAAUAUAAUGAUAAAACACACUAAUAUUAAACAUAGGAAAAAAGAAUCAAGGAAAAAUCUAUUUUUAAAAUUAUGUUAUUCACAAACUAGUGAUUCACACAAAUUUGAAAUAAUUCAAAAUUUAAACUAUUCAAAUUUGAAAACUACCGGCACUAACAAAAAGUUUGUAAUUUUUUGCACCUAAAGAAAAAAUAUUCACAAAGAAAAUCUAAAUACAGCAAAACACAACUCAGAAAUAAAUAAAGCAGAAAAGAAAAAAACUAAAUGAAAAAAAGCCCGCCUACUGGGCCACAGCGGCCUGCAUACGACUAGAAACCCAACCACUAGUUGGGCCAGGAUGCAGGCCCGCCAGCCCAGCAGGCCCAACAGGGCAUCGCAGCAGAGGUAGGCCAAGAAGGCCUGCUUUAGAGAGGAGCUGGAGACAACAGCGACGGCGGGGCUUAUAAGCAGGUGCGAGCGCCCCUCGGAUUGCGAGGUGGGACUAAACUUCUGGGCCCCUCGCCUGGCAGCGCUCCACCUUUAGUACCGGGUCGUGGCUCCAACCGGUACUAAAGGGGGGGGUCUUUAGUACCGGUUGGAGCCACCACCCGGUACUAAAGGUGUGCCCUUCCCGCCGCUCCGCCUGGCCAAAACAGGCCUUUAGUACUGGUUGGUGGCUGCAACCGGUACUAAAGGUCAAUCCUAUAUAUACAACACUUCGAAAAAUUUCAGUUUCUCAUCUCCCACUUCUCCUCUCUGCUUCGACAUCACCGCCGCCCCAUCCCGCACCGUCGCCGUCCCCGCCGCGCGUCAUCGUCGUCGUUGUCCCCAUCGCCGCCGCCCCCGUCCCCGUUGACGCCCCGGCCCGUCGUCGCCGUCCCCGUCGUCGUCGUCUUGCCGCCGCCCCGUCACCGUUGCCUCCCCUAUCGCCGCCCCCAUCGGCUCUCCGCGCCCUGGCCCGUCGCCCCGCUGUAAGAACCCCAGCCGCCAUGCAUAUGGCCGGCCGCCCCCAAGCCCGGCCACACGCGCGCGCACACACACACACACUUAGAUGUGUUUUUUCUAUUUUUAGUUUUUAUUUUAAGUUUUUAGUUUUUUCUGUUUUCUGUUUUUAUAUAUAAAGGUUUUAUAGAUGAAUUAAUUAAUUAGAUUAGAUUAAUGUCAAAUGUCAAAUGUCAAUAAAGGUUUUAGAUGAAUUAAUUAAUUAGAUUAUUGUCAAAUGUUAGAUGAAAUUAGCUAGAUAUAUUAAUGUUAGAUGAAUUAUUAUUUUAUACUUUUAGUUCGAUGAAUUAGAUAUAUUAAUUAAUGUUAGAUGAAUUAGCUAGCUAGAUAUAUAUAUAAGAAAUCAUUUAAAAAAUGUUACGUUUGCAUAUAAUAUUUGUUCUCGACAAUGCCCGGCCCGCAUCCUCGCCGUCGACCCGUUCGCGACGACGUCCUACUUCAGAGGACCCAUGUCCGGGACUGGGCUCCGCCGGGCUGGCACUGGGAGGUGCUACCUUCAGGGGCUUGCCGCUUGGUGAGGAACCCGGCCCCGGGUCCCGUCGUCGACCCUGAGCUCCUUUGGUGGCGUUCGCGUGGACCACGUUCGGUGCAGAGGAAGCCGGCCCCGCCGGAGGUGGUGCGUCGCCAAGUCAGGGAGGAGGACGAGCACGUUCGUCGCUACAUGGCUGCUAUGGACGUCAGGUUCUCCAAUACCUGGCAGGUUCUUUGGGGAGAUUAUCGGAGCUAUGAUCCUGUGAUGGUUCCUUCUCUUUGGAUGUCCACCGCCCGCGCCUCAGGAACCGCGAGUGGCCUAGAUUCUUCUGUUGUAUUCGAUCUUUAUUAGCUAGCUAGAUAGUGAUGUAUUCGGUAUAUAAUAUUCGAGAUGAUGUAUUCAAGAUUAUAUAUAUUAUUCGAGACGAUGUAUUCGAGAUUAUGUACUAUGAUUCAGUUUUUACUUAUUGAUUGCGUGCAUGCAUUGUAAUUUGAAUACUAAAUUGUUUUACAUUUCUUCUGGAUUAGUUAAAUAAAAGCUAUGGCGGACAAUACCGGCAGAGAGGGAGAAGAGGCCCUGUUCGAGAUCAUACGCUCCCCUCGUAGGCCAGAUGAUCAGAAUGAAUAAGAUGACGGCUCCCAAUAUCUGAACAAUACCGGAGGGGUGAUGAUAUGAUAUUCGAUCGCGACGACCGAAUUGUUGAAGUCAUGAACUAUGAUUAUGAUGACGCCGAAAAUGUUGAUCUUGAAAUAACAGAGACCGGCGAGGUAUAUUUAUAUAAGCAGGCAUCUGGUGAUCAUCACAUGUUUUUAAUGAUUUGAAGAUAUAUUAACGAAUCGAUCUUUCUUCUUUCAGCCCUCCGGAUCGAGCAAAUCUUCUAAACGCAGUAGGACAGUGCGAGGCCCGGGCAAAAAGUUGAAGGAGGGCGUAAAGUACAACAUCAAUGCCAUCAGAACUGAUGUCGAACCACUAGCGCCUAAGAACAUUGCGAACAAGUUCGUUCGUCAGUGCAGAGUUCUUGUGAAGGACCAACUCCUGAUCUCCCUUCAAGAAUGGAAAGAGCCAGCAAAGAAACGUCUAGAUCUUACUUUUGUCGACGACAGAGCAAAAUCUCUGCUUUGGGAAACAUUUCACCCUACCAGAUCAUUUCACAGAUGCAGAUGUGCAGAAAGUCAAGGACGCUGCUCUUAGGAAGAUGGCAGUUGCAUUCAACAACCAUAAGAAAACUGUAUGGGCCAACUACGUCAAAGGAGGAAAGAAGACUCAAGAAUUCAAGGGAACACUGGAGAAGCAAAGAGAACACUGGCCCGCUUUUGUGAAAUUCAAGGAAUCAAAAUUAUCUAAGGAACGGUCAAGAAAAAACAAGGCCAAUGCCGCAAGAAAGGAGCCGUUCCAUAGGCUGGGGCCAGGUGGCUACGCGGUGGCAAUGCCUAAGUGGGAUAAGUCUGAGCAAGAGAUGCUGGAUGCAGAGGUCACUCUAGUUACUAAGAGCUGGCCCCCCCAGGUGCAGAACUUGGUUCUAUGCGCAUGGGGGGCGUUGGAUCCGAAGACAGACCAGGUUUCGAAGAAGGCAUGUCUUAAAGGAGCCGAUGAUAAGUUACUUGAUGCAAUAGAAGAUGCUCGAAAGGGGGUGUUCACGCCCAACAGAGAGAACGACGAGCUUACGUGUGCCCUGGGAAAUCCUGAACACCCGGAAAGAACACGAGGCAAGGGCGUUGUUCCGUGGUAUGAGGGCUUUUCGGACUGGAACGCCGACUACAGAAGCCGUGCGAUAAGGAAGAAGCUGGAGGAGGAGCAGAGGAAGUAGGAAGAAGAACGCCUUCAAGGCCUAGAAUCAGCGCACGCGGACUUGGGACUCAAAUUCCAGCGGCAGCAGCAGCAGAUCGACUCACUUAGCCAGGAAAGGGGGUCUUAGCAGCGGCGGCAGCUAGCGGAUGAUCCAACAUUGGAUAGCACGGUCCCAUCCAUGCCGAGAAGCAGCGUGGGUUCCGCCCCGGGCGACGCACUGCUGGAUAGAUACCCUGUGGAUGACAUCAUGGAGAACACUAACUAUGAGCUACACUUCAAAGUGAAGAACAUAUCCAUGAAGGUGGCAGACGCCAUUGCUUAUACAAAUCCCCCCGAAGCAACCUUCCAUUGCAACCCGAUUCCAGCCGGCUAUGCUCGUGCCGUGGUUGAUGAGGUGGUGGACCAAUAUUCGGGGCUAGAGCUUGACAUUCCUGGAGGUGACGAGGAGCACACACUGGGAGAGGCCAUACAUUGUAUCAUCCUAUGGAGAAAGGAUUGCGUCAUCUUUCGAAGGCCACCGACACCGCGUCAGCCGACUCCUCCUCGAAGUCCGCCACUGCGUCAGCAGACUCCCGCUCCUCCAAGUCCACCAACGCAUCAGGCCACUCCUCCUCCUCCAAGUCCGGCACAGCGUCAGGCCACUCCUCCUGCUUCAAGUCCAGCACAGCGUUAGGCCACUCCUUCUGCUUCAAGUCCGACACCGCGUCUGGCCACUCCUCCUGCUCCAACUCAGCCACGUCAGCCAUCUCCGCCGCCUCAGCAAUCGCGGAAGAGAGCCGCCGCAGCUAUGGUGCGUAGCGGUACAAGUCGAGGUAGUACAGGAGGUACAUGUGGAGGCAAGCGAUUUCAAUAUGUUCCAAGCCUCGGUCCUAUUCCUCAGAGGCCUUACGACACGACCGACAAGCAAAACACAGCCAUAGUGAAGGCCCAAGUGGACGCCCAUUUUGGACCGAAACCCGUACCGCCGCCAAAGGAGAAAGUGCCUGAGAAAGUCGUUGACCACUUUAUUCAUAUGGCAAAAAAACGAGUUCCCAAGCCUGUUGACUCAGACUAUGAGCGCCAAAUUAGGAAGGCACAUCGAGCACGACUACAGAAGGAGUCGAGCUCGAGCUCGAGCCAAGCAGUUGGCAGAAAAUGCGGGAAAACCGUUCCCCAGCUGGGAGAACAGGCGGCGCAAUCGAUCCCCCCGCUUGUUGUACCAACACAUGAGAGUACCGGUGCCAGUCAGCUGGUAAUAACCGGCGAGCAUAGAAGGCAUGCUAAAAUGCUCGGUAUCACUGUUGGACAACUCCUCAAGAUCGAGCCCAUGUCUCCGCUUAGAGAGGAGGACAUAAAACGGAAAUAUAUCUGCGGCGAACCUUUGGUCAAGCCUGAGGAGGUCGAGAACCUCCCAACGAGAAUGUAUGAAUUGCAUCAAUGGUACAUGGAAAUUUGCAAGGCCCACAAUCGAGAGUCCCUCAUGGUGAAAGUCAAGGAAGAGGAUUACUUCCAUGAGACAUCUCUGACUAUUGAGUAUACAGAACUGUUUCAGUUAUUCAAUUAUGACGCACUCGACAAAUCUAUCGUCAGUUGCUAUUGUGUGUAAGUGAUUUCUUUCUGUAAUUUAAGUCUCAGGCUAGCUGUAGUGCUCUCGUUGAUCAUUACCUGUAAUUAUCCUCACUAUAUUCUUUUCUGUGGUAUUAUGCAGGAUGAAGAUGUCCGAAAUGAGAAAAGCUAGACGCUAUGGCAUUGGGUUCAUUGACCCAAAUACCAUUAAUGGAGAGACAUGGUAAUAUGAAUAUUAUAAACAAGAACUAGAGAGAAACAUGCUAGAGUUCUUGAAGCGCCUCAAUACCAAUGCAGAUAUACUACUUCCUUACAACUUCGAGUGAGUCACACUGUCUUGUACUACAAAUUCUGUUUUUGCUUACUAGCUAGAUGUUAAUAAGUGUAUAGGGUUUAGGGUUAGUUGAUGAGUGUUAUGCACAUGCCCGCUUAAUUUAUACAUGCAAACGUAUGCGCAUGUAGGUACCACUGGAUCUUGUUAGACAUUCAAGUUGAAGAAGGAAAAGUUGAAGUACUGGACUCACUGCUUAAAAAACCUAAAGGGUACUCAAUCGUGAAGGGGAUAGUCAACAGGUAAUUUCAAUCAUUAUAUAUAUGUCCUGAUAUCAACUAAUUAAUAACUUCUUUAUUCAUUUUCUUUGCCGGCGGGCCGGCAGGGCUUGGCAAAAGUUCAUCAAAGACGUUCCAGGCCCGUUCAGAGAAAAUCUGUAUUGGUAUCGACCCACAGCAAUUAAUUAAGUAGUACUAGCUAGCUAGCUACCAAUCUCUUUAAUUCUAGUUUCAAUACCAUUGAUUAUCAUGCUUGAUUAACUAUUAUCUGAUUGAACUCUAUUCUCGUACAGGCCAUGAAGCAGGAGCCAGGGAAUGAUUUAUGUGCAUACUACGUUUGCGAGAACAUUCGCAUGAUGACGUCCGAAAGGAGCACAUCUGAUAGACAGCUAUGGGUACGUUUGACAGAACACUAUACACAAUUUUUACAUCAUUAUCGAUAUCUCAUCAUUAUCGAUAUCUAGUCACACAACUAAUACAUGCAUAUUGAUCUCCUUCUUAACAGUUCAAUGAGGUGCGGGAGAAGCUCCUACCAAUGGAUCGCGUAAGAGCAAUUGUAGAGGAAAUAGCGGGAUUUUUGCUCGACCAGGUCAUAGAUCCCACAGGAGAAUUCCAUUAAUUACCCGCUACCGCAGUAAUGCCUCCAUGUAGGAGAAAUUGUAUAUACCAAAUUGUAUAUAUAUACGUACAUGUGUAUGUGUGAAUGGUGGUGCGAGACAUUCGAUGAUAUAUAUAUGAUCGGUUCUACGAGAAAUUCUAUUUAUAUAUAUGCAUAGCGUGUACAAUAUGUAGUAUCGUAAAAUACCAGCAAACGAAAAAGAAUUAAAUGAAAAACACAAAAUUAAAGGAAAAAGAAACCCUGAACCCAAAACCCCCCAAACCUUUUAGAUACCGGUUGAUGUUUCCAACCUGUACUAAAGGGCUCCCCGCCCCCGGCGCAGGCUCGUGCCACGUGGUGGCCCUUUAGCGGCAGUUUGUGCAGAACCGGCACUAAAGGGUGGGGACUAAAACUAAAGGGGGGGACCUUUAGUCCCCACCCUUUAGUGCCGGUUACAGAACAGGCACUAAAGGCCCUUAGUGUUAGUAGUAGCGAGGUCAAAAAAACACGCUACUAGUAGGGAAUAGUAGUAGCGCGGGUACAGAAGACCACGCUACUACUAAGAGGUUUCCACCAUACCUCUUCAGACAGGAAGUAGUAGUAGCGUGGGGUGUAUAACCCGCGCUACUACCAAGUACUAGCAGUAGCCCGUGAUGUACACCCCGCGCUACUACUUUGGGUAGACCGGGUCAGCCGGUGGGCAAUCCUCCACCCCAUGCUACCACUAUCACACAAGUCUUCCCGUAUCCCCAUCCCACGCAAAAACAAUCCCCAUCCCGAUCCCACGCUGGUGCGGCGCCUCCAUCCCAAUCCCCAUCCCGAUCUCCUUCCCCACCUCCACCUCUAGACGACCCCGACGGCCAGAUCACGCCGGAGCCUGCGGUCCUCCUCCACCUUCAACUCCUCUCCUCUCCGGUUGCGCCGCCACCCUGUUCGUGGUCGAGCCGCGGCGAGCAGCAGAGGACCGCCGCUGGCUCGUCCACAACCAAUCGGCGAGCAGCAGAGCAGAGGACCCCAUAGCUGCCUACCGUGCCAAGCUCCCUCCCUCCUCGUGAACGAAGCCCUACCCCACGGCCAUGGCUAGGUUUGUGCAGUUUUUGCCCAUCUCAUCUGGUGAGUUCCCUUUCAUCCAAGAAGAAGCUCCUGCAGAUCCUUCUACCUCCGGUCUCCCUCUGACCUAAGUGUUUUUGGUUUUGUGGCCGACGUGUCCAGUGUGCAGGUCCCUUCUCUGAGAGGGUGCUGCUCACGCUGGAGGAGAAGGAGGUGCNNNNNNNNNNNNNNNNNNNNNNNNNNNNNNNNNNNNNNNNNNNNNNNNNNNNNNNNNNNNNNNNNNNNNNNNNNNNNNNNNNNNNNNNNNNNNNNNNNNNNNNNNNNNNNNNNNNNNNNNNNNNNNNNNNNNNNNNNNNNNNNNNNNNNNNNNNNNNNNNNNNNNNNNNNNNNNNNNNNNNNNNNNNNNNNNNNNNNNNNNNNNNNNNNNNNNNNNNNNNNNNNNNNNNNNNNNNNNNNNNNNNNNNNNNNNNNNNNNNNNNNNNNNNNNNNNNNNNNNNNNNNNNNNNNNNNNNNNNNNNNNNNAAAUACGCCCACUAGAAUUUCAGUUUCACGCCACUAAAAUUCCUUAAAUCGGCUGGUUCGCUUUGGGUGAAGUAGAGCAGCGUGGGACUAGGGAUUUUAUUGUGGUCGCCAUGGGCGAUGCCUGUGCGUGGCUUACAUGCCUACUGUGAUGUGACAGAUUUGGUUUAUCUAGUGCAGAAUGUGUGGCCGUGGAAUUGGGUGUACAUGGAUAAUGUUUUGGAACUAGUAGAAAUUCUAUGAAAAAGAGCUAGAAAUUCUCUUGGUUUUCUUCUGCACAAGGGGUUCAGUAUUUCGACCAAAAAAAGAUUCAGAAAUUCUCUUGAUUUUCUUCUGCACAAGGGGUUCAGUAUUUCGACAAAAAAAAGAUUCAGAAAUUCUCUUGGUUUGUUCUACACAAGGGUAAAUCAUUGUUUUGAGCCAAUUCUCCAGCGAUUUUGCUUGAAUCGUUACUAGUUGGUUUGUGUCGGGACUAAAAGUUGUUACCAUAAGGUAGUUCAAGAUUAAAUCCAGAGACAUAGUUAAAUAUCUCUCUGGCAAAUUUGGUAAAAAAAAUACUAGAAAACCUCUCGGUUCACUGCUGCACAGGGGGUUCAGCAUUUCGGUAAAAAAGAACUAGAAAUUCUCAUGGUUUACUUAUGCACAAGAGUUCAGUAUUUCGAUCUUGUUCCAUAGAAACAGAUUUACAGGAUGAGUUUUGAGUGUGAUAAAUGGACUACAUCUUGAAGGUGAUUUACCCAAUGCACUUGCACUAUCCAGGUAGAAGCUCCGAAGAAUUGGAGAUUUAGAACUAACUAACAAUAGCUAAUAGUGUGAUUAAAAUGCUUGAUUUGAGUUUUUUGGGCAAAUGUGACAAAAUGAAUUGCCAACUAUUGCAGCUUCUUGGGCAUUAAAGUAUUACAGACGUUAUUCUGCAACAGUGAGUGCAGCGCCGUACGUUAGCACCAGGACACGUCGCUAGAGGAUUUCCCGAUGAUGCAAAUUCAUCAUUUUGCAUUUGAUUGGCAUUGGAGAAAUCCAAAAGCUACCACAAAGCUUCUCUGCAUGCAUAAGUGAGCACUGUACCCGCUCUCUAACACAAACUUAUAUUUUGAAGUCUUAAAACAUGUCUAGGAAACUGUUCUGAGAUAUUGUAUUGUUAAAAAGAAUAAGAUACCUCACUUCAAUUGAAUCUAUAAGCUGUAAGAUAAAUUUGGUGAUAAUGUAUCGGUCUUCUAUUCCCUUCAUUUUGCUAGCUUAUGCGGGGCUUUAUCUAUGUACAUGUGCAUGUUGGGAUAGGUUGAUAUGCUAGGUUGCUUUUUGCUAGGUUGAUACUGGACAGUAUCCUGGCCUACUUUUUGCUAGGUUGCAAGCUCAAAGCCAUUAGACGUAAUCCCCAAUGGAACAUAUGGCCGAAGGGUUGCAUUUAACUAGGUUGUGACACUAGAUUAUCUUUUCUAAAUACUAGGUUGUGAGACUAGAUGUAUUGCCAACAUGAUUGGUGUCAUGCGAUACAAGGACACGUCAACUACCUAUUUACACUUGGUGCUAAAGGCAAUAGCUUAGCAAAAUAAGUUACUGUGUUGAUUAACGUUUGGUUUUUUCCCUCUUUUUCAUCUGAAUAGCAUUGCCGUAGAUAUCCAUUUUAGAUAACAUGUUUGAAAAUUUGAAAUUUUCCAAGUUACUAUAUAGUGACAAUGUAUUUUUUUGUUAAGAGGUUUUAAGGGUUAAUUCUUUUUCUGAAAGUUAUCCUUUUAUCUAAACUAAAUGGUUUUCGUCUGAGAUGAAACAAUGUGUUUACUGUACCAAGAAGGGGAUGUAUGCAUUGUUUCUAUAUCCAAAUUAGCCAAAUUGUAAUUUCUUAUAUGGAGGCUCUUUGCAAUACAUCUUGGGGCAGCGUGCAAAAUUUAUGCUGGACUCGUGAGUCGGUGCGGCAAAGCAUGCAUGUUGCUUCUAGUUUUAUUGUUAACCAUGCUAUUGUCCAAACUCCUUUUUAUUCUGCUCAUAUGAUAUUGCUUAUCUUUUGUUUUCUGUCCCGAUGCCUCAUGUAUUUACAGUAGAAAUGUUCUAAAUUUAGUGCUUCUUGAACAUGUCCAGGGCAAUGGAUAAAGUCUAGAUGCUAAGUUGACUUUUUUCCUGCAGAUUUGCUUAUCGUGAAGACGCUUGCAAGGAUGCAGCGGGAGCAGAUCAUUUGGAGAGAUAGGAUGCGACAAAUUGGUCUUUCUAUGCAUUUUGGUUUGCUUGUAACCGUGUUUGCAUUAGCUGGGAAUAAGUGACUUGGCAAGAACUGUAGGUGUCUGGAUAUGCUCUAAUGCUCCUGGUUUACUAUAAAUCUUGGAUUUGUAAUGAUGUGUAAUGCAUAAAAUGGAAUUUGGGGAUUUUAAUUUUUUUAAUUCGUAAUUAGUUAGUAGUAGCGUGGGGAAAAACCAUGC